GACCGCGUGGUUCAGUUGGCAGAGCAUUGGGCUAGUAUUCCAAAGGUCGUAGGUUCGAAUCCCACCGUGGCCA
Molecule: transfer RNA, 73 nt
Filed under: Paramuricea clavata
Lineage: Eukaryota; Metazoa; Cnidaria; Anthozoa; Malacalcyonacea; Plexauridae
Rfam family: tRNA
About the family: Transfer RNA (tRNA) molecules are approximately 80 nucleotides in length. Their secondary structure includes four short double-helical elements and three loops (D, anti-codon, and T loops). Further hydrogen bonds mediate the characteristic L-shaped molecular structure. tRNAs have two regions of fundamental functional importance: the anti-codon, which is responsible for specific mRNA codon recognition, and the 3' end, to which the tRNAs corresponding amino acid is attached (by aminoacyl-tRNA synthetases). tRNAs cope with the degeneracy of the genetic code in two manners: having more than one tRNA (with a specific anti-codon) for a particular amino acid; and 'wobble' base-pairing, i.e. permitting non-standard base-pairing at the 3rd anti-codon position.
Source: Rfam by way of RNAcentral